CGGGACGGGGUGGAGUAAUGUCUGGGAAACUGCCUGAUGGAGGGGGGUAACUACUGGAAACGGUAGCUAAUACCGCAUAACGCCGCAAGACCAAAGAGGGGGACCUUCGGGCCUCUUGCCAUCGGAUGUGCCCAGAUGGGAUUAGCUAGUAGGUGGGGUAACGGCUCACCUAGGCGACGAUCCCUAGCUGGUCUGAGAGGAUGACCAGCCACACUGGAACUGAGACACGGUCCAG
RNAcentral lists this ribosomal RNA (235 nucleotides) under uncultured bacterium. RNAcentral describes it as "partial 16S ribosomal RNA". It matches the Rfam family "Bacterial small subunit ribosomal RNA", at positions 104 to 334 of the family's 1533-position model. The record is from RNAcentral.